Molecule: ribosomal RNA, 460 nt
Filed under: uncultured bacterium
Lineage: Bacteria
Description: partial 16S ribosomal RNA
Rfam family: Bacterial small subunit ribosomal RNA
Source: RNAcentral
CCUACGGGUGGCAGCAGUGAGGAAUAUUGGUCAAUGGGCUUAAGCCUGAACCAGCCAAGUCGCGUGAGGGAAGACUGCCCUAUGGGUUGUAAACCUCUUGUGUCAGGGAGCAACGCCGGCUACGUGUAGCCGGACUGAGAGUACCUGAAGAAAAAGCAUCGGCUAACUCCGUGCCAGCAGCCGCGGUAAUACGGGGGAUGCGAGCGUUAUCCGGAUUUGUUGGGUGUAAGGGGUGCGUAGGCGGAAUGCCAAGUCAGCGGUAAAAUCGCGGGGCUCAACCGCGCUCCGCCGUUGAAACUGGUGUUCUUGAGUGGGCGAGAAGUAUGCGGAAUGCGUGGUGUAGCGGUGAAAUGCAUAGAUAUCACGAAGAACUCCGAGUGCGAAGGCAGCAUACCGGCGCCCAACUGACGCUGAGGCACGAAAGCGUGGGUAUCGAACAGGAUUAGAUACCCCUGUAGUC